This 339-nucleotide ribosomal RNA is filed under the name Triticum aestivum (bread wheat). RNAcentral's name for it is "partial small subunit ribosomal RNA". Lineage: Eukaryota; Viridiplantae; Streptophyta; Magnoliopsida; Poales; Poaceae. The record is from RNAcentral.
AUGCUCAAAAGAACCAUCAGAGUGAGUCCUAACCUUGUAGACCCACCAAGUGAUGGGACGAAGACGAGGAGGGACAUAAACAAUAUCCCACGUGCUGAUGCACUCAAGAGCAGCAAUCUCGUGUGUCAUAACAAGGUGCCAUUUGGUAUGAACAUCACAACAAGAAGUCGGCUCAAGAACAGCAGCGCCAAUGCUUGGAAGACCAAGGCGGUCAACUGGACGAAGCGGACGAGGACGGAAGCCAUAAGUAGGCUGAGACGGGGAAGUUGGCACAUCAUUAGAUGCAUCGACAACACACAGACGACCUAUAUAGAAGUUAGGAAAAAAAUGAAAGAAUAA